UGGAGCUGGUAAGGCAACCGAAAUGUCCUGUUCUCAGAUUGGCGGACAUCCCAUUUUCUAAAGCCAUGGCCCUAAUGCUGAGAAUGAUGGGCUCAUUGCUUCACCCCUCCACUAAUUUGUUUGUUCGUUUGUUUCGAUCAUAACAAACAUCUAGUUUUAGAUCCUUUUGUCUUUGAUAACUCAUGAAACCUAAACUCAACCAAAUAUCAACUGUAUCAGAUUCUUGGCUUUCUCAUUCUUUUUUUUUUCUUUUUUGUUGAACAUUUGGCUUUCCCAUUCUGUUCAUGAAGAAAAGGAAAAAAAAAAAGAAAAAGAAAUCCAGAGUUUUAACAUGGUGCUAAUUAAGUUCCAUGCUUUGAGGAUGUUCGCUCAAAUAAAGAAACAAAGCAAAAACAAAAUGAAUUAGAGAAGUUGUAGCCAGAUUUUGUACGCAUUCACUUGCAAGCAGUUAGGCGAUGUUGAUGCACCCAUCAGUGCGUAGUUUUUGAUCUCCCUGUCUUACUCAGUUAAGAGCCAACCAUUAGUAUGGGAAUUAUGAUAGCAAUAUUGAAAGUAAAAAAGGAAAAGAAAACCAUUGGGUCCUUUGGAGACGGGUCGCGAUAGAAGAAGACGAGAACAUCAACACAUGAUCACAUGGCUUUGCACAUGAAGAGUCUCCCCCUUGAAAGAAAAUGACAAAAUGCAUCAGCUACCUCAACUGUUUAGGGCUCAAGACUAUAAAAAAAACUACUGUACAAUGUGAUCUAUAGGGCAGUAAUUCAAAGAGAAUCCAAUGAGCUGGAAUAACAUUUAUAUGGUAUGAGUUCGUUACAAUGGCAAUAGUACUGAGAUAUAUAUAUAUAUAUACAAAUGUCUUCAGUUGAUUAAUAAAAAAAGGUAUAUUUAUAAAAGAAGUAAUAUAAAAGAUGAAGGGCAUUUUGAGAUAGCCAAGGGCUAUAAAACGAGGAGCAUGUAUGGGUGUUUCCCAUGCACAAAUCCACUGCUAGCUCUCUUGACUCUUGAGAAGAAAAAGAAGUUUCUUGACUCGAGAGAAAAAAGAAAAGAAAAGCAGAAGAGUGCUAUACUAGACAUGAAGAAGAGGCAGCAGGAGCAAUCCCAGCAGCAACAGCAAAAGGGAUGCAAGGAGCUCUAUAGCAAUCAGCAAUAUCAGAUGCAGAAGCAGAUACAAUGCAACAAAGGAAAAACUUGCAAAUUCAAGAGAAGCAGCUCCAAUCUUGAAGAUGAUGGUGCUUCCUCUGCUAUUCUCUUGCUCGCUUGCAUUGCCUGCACUACUCCCUCUUAUUAAACUGUAGUACUGUAGAAGUCUAGAUAUAUAUAGAUAGUUACCCAGCUGAUGCUUAAGUUUUUAUAUCAUCUGAUUUCCUAGUUGAUUAUCUGGUCAGUAAUAUUAAUGUCUUUCUAUUUCUCUCUUGUCUUCAGCGUUUUGUUGUUCAGGUUUUUGCUGUUGUUUGCUAUAGCAUAUUCUUUGUUAUGUAUCUGAUGCCAAACUGUCUCUUACAUUCAGAUUGAUAUUA
Ricinus communis (castor bean) is the source of this 1514-nucleotide long non-coding RNA. RefSeq lists it as uncharacterized. The transcript has 2 exons. The record is from RefSeq and is a predicted model, not a curated record. NCBI's taxonomy places the organism in Eukaryota, Viridiplantae, Streptophyta, Magnoliopsida, Malpighiales, Euphorbiaceae.